CGGAGGAAAAGAAACUAACAAGGAUUCCCCUAGUAACGGCGAGUGAAGCGGGAAGAGCUCAAGCUUAAAAUCUCCGUGCAAGUUUUGCGCGGCGAAUUGUAGUCUAUAGAGGCGUGGUCAGCGUGGGCGCUUGGGGCAAGUUCCUUGGAAGAGGACAGCAUGGAGGGUGAUACUCCCGUUCAUCCCUGAGUGGCUCGUGCGUACGACCCGUGUUCUUUGAGUCGCGUUGUUUGGGAAUGCAGCGCAAAGUAGGUGGUAAAUUCCAUCUAAAGCUAAAUAUUGGUGCGAGACCGAUAGCGAACAAGUACCGUGAGGGAAAGAUGAAAAGAACUUUGAAAAGAGAGUUAAAGAGUACCUGAAACUGCUGAAAGGGAACCGAAUCGUUUCCAGUGUCUAUAAUCCGUGGCAUAUUUCAUUGGCGAGUGUGCGCGUGCGUGUGCUGUGGCAGUGGCUUUUUUGGCUGCGCUCGGUGUGUGUGCUGUGUGUGCUUGCUGGUGCCCUGUGCUGCGGUGGGACGUCAAGGUCAGUUCGUAUGCUGCGGGAAAUGGCUGCCGAGGAGGUAGGGCUUACGCUCCGCGUUUGUCUGUUAUAUCUUGGUGGACGAGUCGUCGCGGUUGGGACUGAGGUGCCUACAACGUGCUUUUGAGUGGGUUUGUGUCUCCGUGUGCGCCGUGUGCGGAUAGCUUGCUAUGCGUGUGUGGUUGUGUGUGGAUUGAUGCGGGCUUUAACUUGUCGCCGUUCGGGACGUUGACGAAAUGGAGCGAUCCGACCCGUCUUGA
Molecule: ribosomal RNA, 779 nt
Filed under: Phytophthora vignae
Lineage: Eukaryota; Oomycota; Peronosporomycetes; Peronosporales; Peronosporaceae
Description: eukaryotic LSU rRNA
Rfam family: Eukaryotic large subunit ribosomal RNA
Source: RNAcentral